GCUUUCAUCGUCUAAUGGAAGGACUACUGAUUUGUAAUCAGUGUAUCCUGGUUCGAAUCCGGGUGGAAGCU
Molecule: transfer RNA, 71 nt
Filed under: Lachnospiraceae bacterium
Lineage: Bacteria; Bacillati; Bacillota; Clostridia; Lachnospirales; Lachnospiraceae
Description: tRNA-Thr
Rfam family: tRNA
About the family: Transfer RNA (tRNA) molecules are approximately 80 nucleotides in length. Their secondary structure includes four short double-helical elements and three loops (D, anti-codon, and T loops).
Source: RNAcentral